UUGAUUACGUCCCUGCCCUUUGUACACACCGCCCGUCGCUGCCCGGGACUGAGCCAUUUCGAGAAAUUUGGGGACCGUUGAUUUAGCCUUUUUUAAGUUACUUUGAUGGAAACCAACUUAAUCGCAGUGGCUUGAACCGGGCAAAAGUCGUAACAAGGUAGCUGUAGGUGAACCUGCUGCUGGAUCAUU
RNAcentral lists this ribosomal RNA (189 nucleotides) under Meloidogyne hapla. RNAcentral describes it as "partial 18S ribosomal RNA". It matches the Rfam family "Eukaryotic small subunit ribosomal RNA", at positions 1641 to 1830 of the family's 1831-position model. Lineage: Eukaryota; Metazoa; Nematoda; Chromadorea; Rhabditida; Meloidogynidae. The record is from RNAcentral.